Molecule: ribosomal RNA, 712 nt
Filed under: uncultured Dermabacter sp.
Lineage: Bacteria; Bacillati; Actinomycetota; Actinomycetes; Micrococcales; Dermabacteraceae
Description: bacterial SSU rRNA
Rfam family: Bacterial small subunit ribosomal RNA
Source: RNAcentral
AACGAUGAAGCUGUGCUUGCACAGUGGAUUAGUGGCGAACGGGUGAGUAACACGUGAGUAACCUGCCCUCCACUUUGGGAUAACUCCGAGAAAUCGGGGCUAAUACUGGAUAUGACCUUGGCCCGCAUGGGUUUUGGUGGAAAGUUUUUCGGUGGGGGAUGGGCUCGCGGCCUAUCAGUUUGUUGGUGAGGUAGUGGCUCACCAAGGCGAUGACGGGUAGCCGGCCUGAGAGGGCGACCGGCCACACUGGGACUGAGACACGGCCCAGACUCCUACGGGAGGCAGCAGUGGGGAAUAUUGCACAAUGGGCGAAAGCCUGAUGCAGCGACGCCGCGUGGGGGAUGACGGCCUUCGGGUUGUAAACCUCUUUCAGCAAGGAAGAAGCGAAAGUGACGGUACUUGCAGAAGAAGCGCCGGCUAACUACGUGCCAGCAGCCGCGGUAAUACGUAGGGCGCAAGCGUUGUCCGGAAUUAUUGGGCGUAAAGGGCUUGUAGGUGGCUUGUCGCGUCUGCCGUGAAAACUCGAGGCUUAACCUUGGGCGUGCGGUGGGUACGGGCAGGCUAGAGUGCGGUAGGGGAGACUGGAAUUCCUGGUGUAGCGGUGAAAUGCGCAGAUAUCAGGAGGAACACCGAUGGCGAAGGCAGGUCUCUGGGCCGUUACUGACACUGAGAAGCGAAAGCAUGGGGAGCGAACAGGAUUAGAUACCCUGGU